ACCCGUUGCAACUCAUGCUUAUUUUUUGUUCUUGUUAUUACUGCAAAAUGAAAUCAAUUAAUGAACCCAGGGUGGUGUGUUUAUGUUUGAAUCAACUCAACACAAGAAGGAAUAAUUAUAAGGGAAUUUAGCAAGCUAGCUAACAAAGAGAGAGAGGAUGCAAAUGGUGGUUUGGGUG
Molecule: unclassified non-coding RNA, 178 nt
Filed under: uncultured fungus
Lineage: Eukaryota; Fungi
Description: sequence contains ITS1
Source: RNAcentral